This 242-nucleotide ribosomal RNA is filed under the name uncultured bacterium. Its description in RNAcentral is "partial 16S ribosomal RNA". It matches the Rfam family "Bacterial small subunit ribosomal RNA", at positions 535 to 776 of the family's 1533-position model. The record is from RNAcentral.
CAAGCGUUGUCCGGAUUCAUUGGGCGUAAAGAGCGUGUAGGCGGCCAGGUAGGUCGGUUGUGAAAACUGGAGGCUCAACCUUCAGAGGUCGACCGAAACCAUCUGGCUAGAGUCCGGGAGAGGAGAGUGGAAUUCCUGGUGUAGCGGUGAAAUGCGUAGAUAUGUGGAGGAACACCGAUGGCGAAGGCAGCCCCCUGGGUUAACACUGACGCUCAUGCACGAAAGCGUGGGGAGCAAACAGG